GUGCCAGAGGUCAUAAAGAGCUGCUGAGCUAGUUGAGCUUUCUAGUGCUCAGAAGCAAAUCGAUCAGAUGAGCUGCAACUGUGGCUCUGCCACAGACCAUGAGCUAAUGCAGGCUGUACCCAGUGAGCCAGUGCCGCGGGCACUGGAGCCGGCAGUGGGAGAGGGUGAGCCGACAUAGCUAAUGCCUAACGCCAGGAGGGAGAGACAAAGGGGCCUCUUCUUUAACACUGUGAAUAGCCCCAGAGUGAAUACAGCCUUCGACAGCUGUGGUUUCAUUCUCAUCACCGCUGGGCGAGUUGGGGGUGCUAAUUGUGAAGCUGGAGAGCUGUUAAAAUCAGACCAGAUUUGUUAAAGGAGAGGAGUAAGAUGAUACUUCAGACCAGUAUCUGCAGUGGCACAGGCACAAAAGCCCUAUCUCAGGAGAAGGAAUGAAAGGAAGGCAAAAAGGCCGUGAGAAAAUGAAAGAAGCUGGUUGAUUGACCCCUCCUCUGUGUCGCCUCAGCAACUUGUCCAUAUCAUUGUUACAGCACUUACCACACAGUUGUAAGACGCCCACAACAGCCUAUGAAGAAUAACUAGAGGUCUUCAUAUCAGAGGCAGAAGGUACUGCAAGCUUACUUUCCAACGUGGCUGCAUCGUUUCACAUUCCCACCAGCAGUAUGAGGUUUCCAAUUUCUCUGCAUCCUCAUCAAAACUUGUU
This 700-nucleotide long non-coding RNA is filed under the name Homo sapiens (human). Its description in RNAcentral is "HSALNT0394436". Lineage: Eukaryota; Metazoa; Chordata; Mammalia; Primates; Hominidae. The record is from RNAcentral.